CACGAUGAACUGUUAAACAUCAUGUAUGUAUGUAUGUUAUCAGUGCAGAGCAAGUCUUUACGGGGCCUCCUGGAUGUAAACAUUCACGAGAGGCAUUGUGGGAAGGCCAGAGAAUGGCGAAAUCAAAUUGUGAUGUGUACAUUUUAUCACCGUAUGUAGACAUGUAUAUUCAUUGUACAGCUACGAGCACAUGAACUGCCCUCGAUUACGCAUUUGGAGCAUUAGUCAAUACUAACGAAGGAUAUAUUGUUGUCUGAAUCGUUUACCAUGUUUCGACUACGAGAAAAUUCUGACGGUCAUAUUUGCAAUGGAUUGAUAAACACAUAAAGAUACAGUGCAGAUAUAUUUAUAAACUGUCCCCAGUGAUAUUGUAACUAGUAAGGAAAAGUUAAUGGUGACACUUUAAUGUGUGAUGGAAUUGGACGUUGCUAAAAAGAUUUGGUGCCGUUGACCACCCCUGGACUUGGAGGUGAAAGUCCUCCCAGGGACAAAUAAGAACUUGGGUUGCAUCUUCGAGGGCGAAGACAAUUUAAGGAGGGAGGAAUGUAAUGGUUCUGGCCGUGGAUAUCGGCCUGGGUAGCUCAGUCGGUAGAGCACCUGACUAGUGAUGCAGGGGUCCCGGGUUCAAUUCCCGGUCCAGCCAUACAUUUUCUCCUUUCCUGUUACAUAUAUAUAUAGAGACAAUUUCUUUUCCUUUUUUUCUUUUUUGGCAUCCUAUUUUAGGCCUACAGUAUUAAUUUUGGGCUCAUUUACUAGGAAUGUUAUAACUUUAUUGGAAUUGUCCCACUGAAUUAAAGGGAACUCUUUUUUCAGGUGCGCAUGAUGCAACUUCUGGAUGGUGUGUAGUCUGUUUGUCAACAUGUGAAACCCACGUGUAUUUUGAGGAGUAGCCUCCCCUGUUAAAGAUCAAUAAUGGUGGAUAAACAAUGCAGGAUGCUGUCAUGUCAUCAACAGAGAGUUUUGACACCCGUAUACCCGUAUUUCUACCAAUCACCUUUGUAACCUUUGUUGUGUUCAUCAGACAGAUGAUGGACCACUCUACUUCCUUUUACAACAGGUGCCCCUACAGAUUCACAAAGUUCCAAUGUUGAUUUUCCAUGACCCCCAUUCAGUGAGUGCACAACUUUAUUCCGCGACAGGAAAAGGAAUGAAGUUGACAGGAUUUCCCGCACUGUCCUUGGUAGCAGCUUAUGAUAGAACGGACAGCAGUAGACAUAGCCCGCUUCAUCAAAGGUCUGCUGCAUGUUGGUAGCUGAUGCUGGUUCAAUAUUUGCGCCAAGAAGCAUACCACGCAUACCCUCUGUAGUAAGGCUGGUACCCAUGUGACCGACAGCCAUAGCCACAUUUAGCUGUGCAGCUCUGCGUCCCCUUCUGGAUCUCCCCACCUCUUCAUACAGCUUUUCACGGCGACUUGUAUAGUGGCACUUCUUACAUCGGAUGGAAAGGAUCCAUGCCAGGCCUCGUUUUUCCUCCCCAUGCUGGUUCCAGUCCAGUGAACCAUUACAGUCUGGAAACUUCUAGCUGCCUGGUCUUCUAAGAGAAACUCCAUUCUUUGAUGACUGAUGGAAAA
This is a long non-coding RNA of Ostrea edulis (European flat oyster), 1570 nucleotides long. RefSeq lists it as uncharacterized. The transcript is spliced from 7 exons. NCBI's taxonomy places the organism in Eukaryota, Metazoa, Mollusca, Bivalvia, Ostreida, Ostreidae. The record is from RefSeq and is a predicted model, not a curated record.